RNAcentral lists this ribosomal RNA (1438 nucleotides) under uncultured organism. RNAcentral's name for it is "16S ribosomal RNA". It matches the Rfam family "Bacterial small subunit ribosomal RNA". The record is from RNAcentral.
GCGGCGUGCUUAACACAUGCAAGUCGAACGGAAAGGCCCUGCUUUUGUGGGGUGCUCGAGUGGCGAACGGGUGAGUAACACGUGAGUAACCUGCCCUUGACUUUGGGAUAACUUCAGGAAACUGGGGCUAAUACCGGAUAGGAGCUCCUGCUGCAUGGUGGGGGUUGGAAAGUUUCGGCGGUUGGGGGUGGACUCGCGGCUUAUCAGCUUGUUGGUGGGGUAGUGGCUUACCAAGGCUUUGACGGGUAGCCGGCCUGAGAGGGUGACCGGCCACAUUGGGACUGAGAUACGGCCCAGACUCCUACGGGAGGCAGCAGUGGGGAAUAUUGCACAAUGGGCGGAAGCCUGAUGCAGCAACGCCGCGUGCGGGAUGACGGCCUUCGGGUUGUAAACCGCUUUCGCCUGUGACGAAGCGUGAGUGACGGUAAUGGGUAAAGAAGCACCGGCUAACUACGUGCCAGCAGCCGCGGUGAUACGUAGGGUGCGAGCGUUGUCCGGAUUUAUUGGGCGUAAAGGGCUCGUAGGUGGUUGAUCGCGUCGGAAGUGUAAUCUUGGGGCUUAACCCUGAGCGUGCUUUCGAUACGGGUUGACUUGAGGAAGGUAGGGGAGAAUGGAAUUCCUGGUGGAGCGGUGGAAUGCGCAGAUAUCAGGAGGAACACCAGUGGCGAAGGCGGUUCUCUGGGCCUUUCCUGACGCUGAGGGGCGAAAGCGUGGGGAGCGAACAGGCUUAGAUACCCUGGUAGUCCACGCUGUAAACGGUGGGUACUAGGUGUGGGGUCCAUUCCACGGGUUCCGUGCCGUAGCUAACGCUUUAAGUACCCCGCCUGGGGAGUACGGCCGCAAGGCUAAAACUCAAAGGAAUUGACGGGGCCCCGCACAAGCGGCGGAGCAUGCGGAUUAAUUCGAUGCAACGCGUAGAACCUUACCUGGGUUUGACAUGGAUCGGGAGUGCUCAGAGAUGGGUGUGCCUCUUUUGGGGUCGGUUCACAGGUGGUGCAUGCCUGUCGUCAGCUCGUGUCGUGAGAUGUUGGGUUAAGUCCCGCAACGAGCGCAACCCUUGUUCACUGUUGCCAGCACGUUAUGGUGGGGACUCAGUGGAGACCGCCGGGGUCAACUCGGAGGAAGGUGGGGAUGACGUCAAGUCCUCAUGCCCCUUAUGUCCAGGGCUUCACGCAUGCUACAAUGGCUGGUACAGAGAGUGGCGAGCCUGUGAGGGUGAGCGAAUCUCGGAAAGCCGGUCUCAGUUCGGAUUGGGGUCUGCAACUCGACCUCAUGAAGUCGGAGUCGCUAGUAAUCGCAGAUCAGCAACGCUGCGGUGAAUACGUUCCCGGGGCUUGUACACACCGCCCGUCAAGUCAUGAAAGUUGGUAACACCCGAAGCCGGUGGCCUAACCGUUGUGGGGGAGCCGUCGAAGGUGGGACUGGUGAUUAGGACUAA